AGGAGGAACAGCCCCAGUGGCGGGGCCAGGUCUGGAAACCUGGGUUCAGCUCCGGCAGGAACUCCGUCUGCAGGGCCUGGAGGCUCCGGGGCGGG
This 95-nucleotide microRNA precursor is filed under the name Canis lupus familiaris (dog). RNAcentral describes it as "mir-8834 microRNA precursor family". It matches the Rfam family "mir-8834 microRNA precursor family". Lineage: Eukaryota; Metazoa; Chordata; Mammalia; Carnivora; Canidae. The record is from Rfam by way of RNAcentral. RNAcentral also lists the same sequence under 1 other name.